This 77-nucleotide transfer RNA is filed under the name Clavibacter michiganensis. RNAcentral describes it as "tRNA-Ala". Lineage: Bacteria; Bacillati; Actinomycetota; Actinomycetes; Micrococcales; Microbacteriaceae. The record is from RNAcentral.
GACCGCGCUGCUGCAGCGGCGGCAGGCGGCGCGCGCGCUGCCGGCGACCCCGCGGAUCCCGACCGCGGGCGGCCACC